UGCUUUUAUAUAUUCAAUUAAUUAAAGUGCUGAAAAGUAAAUUCCUAAUAAGAUUGUCAUUAAAAGUCUGAUAGUUCUUUCUUUAUAAUUAUUAUUUAAUAUAGCAUGAUGAGAUCAUGUAACAGUUGGGCCAGAAGAAACUAGAAUGAUAGUGUUUAAUAAAGGGAUAUCAAAAGGAUUAAAGGGAAUGAUACCUAGAGGGGGUCAUGAUUGUUCAAUUUCUAUGGUGAUAAAGAUGAGUGAAAAUAAGCUGGUUGGUACAUUCGAGGUUUGGAAGCGUAACUGCAAUUUUUCAAUUAAUCGGCAUUUGGCUACAAGGCUGAUGAGUGAAAUAAAGUGAUUGUUCGUAUAUCAGCAUGAAACUGCACUAACUCUAAUUUUUUACACAGUGCAUUGGACAAUUGUCGCGGUAACUUCGUAUUAAUUAUGUUUUUGGCUAUGCAGUCGAUUAACGACUUGGCGUAAAGUUGCAGCGCUAUAUAACCUAAAUUUUUCGCAAAGUACAUCGAGAAAGUGUCAUACGAGUAUUGUCGCAUUUUGCAUUAUUCAAGGACAAUAUUCAUUUGGAUGCUCCACUUGUACUCCACGACUUUGAUUUCGCAUCUUUCGGCAAGCAGCUCCUCGGAAUCAGGAUGUGGCAGGGACAUCGCAGGAUCAUGUCGCAAGCGUUCGAUUGAUCGAAGGACCGGAACUCCAGCAGAGGAUAUACACGAAACACGCGAGUUUCCAGACGACGCAACCAGACAGCCGGCAGAUGCGCAAAACAAUUGUUCGCCGUAACGUAUUUUACAAGAAAACGUUCAC
Non-coding RNA from Linepithema humile (Argentine ant), 804 nucleotides. Lineage: Eukaryota; Metazoa; Arthropoda; Insecta; Hymenoptera; Formicidae. The record is from RefSeq and is a predicted model, not a curated record.